RNAcentral lists this ribosomal RNA (253 nucleotides) under uncultured bacterium. Its description in RNAcentral is "partial 16S ribosomal RNA". It matches the Rfam family "Bacterial small subunit ribosomal RNA", at positions 524 to 776 of the family's 1533-position model. The record is from RNAcentral.
UACAGAGGGGGCAAGCGUUGUUCGGAAUUACUGGGCGUAAAGGGCGCGUAGGCGGCCUGCUAAGUCGAACGGGGAAUCCCCGGGCUCAACCUGGGAACUGCGUCCGAUACUGGAUGGCUUGAAUCCGGGAGAGGGAUGCAGAAUUCCAGGUGUAGCGGUGAAAUGCGUAGAUAUCUGGAGGAAUACCGGUGGCGAAGGCGGCAUCCUGGACCGGCAUUGACGCUGAGGAGCGAAAGCCAGGGGAGCAAACGGG